GACGAACGCUGGCGGCAGGCUUAACACAUGCAAGUCGAGCGCCCCGCGAAGGGGAGCGGCGGACGGGUGAGUAACGCGUGGGAAUCUGCCCUUUGGUGUGGGACAACCACGGGAAACUGUGGCUAAUACCGCAUGAGCCCGAGAGGGGAAAGCCGCAAGGCGCCGAAGGAUGAGCCCGCGUCGGAUUAGCUAGUUGGUAGGGUAACGGCCUACCAAGGCGACGAUCCGUAGCUGGUCUGAGAGGAUGAUCAGCCACACUGGGACUGAGACACGGCCCAGACUCCUACGGGAGGCAGCAGUGGGGAAUAUUGGACAAUGGGGGAAACCCUGAUCCAGCCAUGCCGCGUGAGUGAUGAA
Molecule: ribosomal RNA, 357 nt
Filed under: uncultured bacterium
Lineage: Bacteria
Description: bacterial SSU rRNA
Rfam family: Bacterial small subunit ribosomal RNA
Source: RNAcentral